RNAcentral lists this ribosomal RNA (233 nucleotides) under uncultured bacterium. RNAcentral's name for it is "partial 16S ribosomal RNA". It matches the Rfam family "Bacterial small subunit ribosomal RNA", at positions 87 to 339 of the family's 1533-position model. The record is from RNAcentral.
UUGGAAGAGUGGCGAACGGGUGAGGAACACGUAAGAAUCUGCCCCUCGGUCGGGGACAACUCUUGGAAACGAGAGCUAAUACCCGAUACGCUGUGGAGUGAAAGAAUUUCGCCGAGGGAUGAUCUUGCGUCUGAUUAGCUAGUUGGUGCGGUAAUGGCGCACCAAGGCGACGAUCAGUAGCUGGUCUGAGAGGAUGAACAGCCACAUUGGAACUGAGACACGGUCCAAACUCC